CCUACGGGUGGCAGCAGUGGGGAAUAUUGGACAAUGGGGGCAACCCUGAUCCAGCCAUGCCGCGUGUGUGAAGAAGGCCCUCGGGUUGUAAAGCACUUUCAGUGAGGAAGAACGCCUGGUGGUUAAUACCCAUCAGGAAAGACAUCACUCACAGAAGAAGCACCGGCUAACUCCGUGCCAGCAGCCGCGGUAAUACGGAGGGUGCGAGCGUUAAUCGGAAUUACUGGGCGUAAAGCGCGCGUAGGUGGCUUGAUAAGCCGGUUGUGAAAGCCCCGGGCUCAACCUGGGAACGGCAUCUGGAACUGUCAAGCUAGAGUGCAGGAGAGGAAGGUAGAAUUCCCGGUGUAGCGGUGAAAUGCGUAGAGAUCGGGAGGAAUACCAGUGGCGAAGGCGGCCUUCUGGACUGACACUGACACUGAGGUGCGAAAGCGUGGGUAGCAAACAGGAUUAGAUACCCUUGUAGUC
RNAcentral lists this ribosomal RNA (465 nucleotides) under Vreelandella stevensii. RNAcentral's name for it is "partial 16S ribosomal RNA". It matches the Rfam family "Bacterial small subunit ribosomal RNA", at positions 338 to 795 of the family's 1533-position model. The record is from RNAcentral. Lineage: Bacteria; Pseudomonadati; Pseudomonadota; Gammaproteobacteria; Oceanospirillales; Halomonadaceae.